Molecule: long non-coding RNA, 352 nt
Organism: Hordeum vulgare subsp. vulgare (domesticated barley)
Lineage: Eukaryota; Viridiplantae; Streptophyta; Magnoliopsida; Poales; Poaceae
Exons: 3
Source: RefSeq, a predicted model, not a curated record
GAAGUAUUAUGUAGAACACAGGAGAAGGGGCACAAUCAUCCCAGCUUGUUCGCAAACAGGCUCAUUUCAUUAGUUUUGCAAAGAUUGAAAGGGACAAAGGAUAGCGCAGAGAGCAGAUAACACAUGGGGUUUGGCAGUUAGUUCGUGUUACUAUCGACCAAGGCUUUUUAGCAGGAAUUACUUGGGUCUGAAAAGCUUCCUGGAAGUGGUGGUCUAGUGUUGGAGAUUAAAAUCAUGUAGUAGUGCAGUUUCAAUGAUGUUAUGUUACUUGAUUUUUAUUAAAUGCUUAUGCUUAUGGCACCUUGUAAAUAUGCUUGUAAUGUUUCGAUAUUAAUUUUGCUUUUUGAAAUCA